CUCACUUCCUCGCGCACCGGCCGCGCCUCGCGGCCUCGCGCCCCAACCGCAGCCUCCCGCCUCAACCGAAGCCUCCCGCCAGCGCUGCAGGUAUAACCGACAACUCACCAAUGGACUGAAUUUACCUCUCUUCUGUAAUUACAUGGGUGAUUUGUGUGACCACACAAGAGGGUUUGCCAUGUAUCUGAACAAAGCAACAGCUG
RNAcentral lists this long non-coding RNA (203 nucleotides) under Brachypodium distachyon (stiff brome). Its description in RNAcentral is "long non-coding RNA (BDIS_LNC003372)". Lineage: Eukaryota; Viridiplantae; Streptophyta; Magnoliopsida; Poales; Poaceae. The record is from RNAcentral.